UACUAUUCCAAGUACCGAUUUUCUUCAAGCCCUCUUUACUAUUCAAUUCGAUGAUGUCCAGGACAAAAUCAGAACGGAAACCCUGAUGGUCGAACUUGAUAAUACCCAUGGACCUAUGGUGCAUUGCGUGUGAUGUACGUGACAAGACUCAUGAUGCCUGUUAAUGAGCGAUGCGCAGAUCGCGCGGAAGGCGAGCCAGCAAAUAGUUAAUAAGUGAGUAUCCAUGAGGCCAGGUGUCGGUUGAUUCGCAGGAUAAUGGCUUGAUAUCGAUUUGCUGGGACGUAUCAAGAUCGUGCAAUGCCUUGGCGAAGAGAUGGACGGC
This is a long non-coding RNA of Camponotus floridanus (Florida carpenter ant), 322 nucleotides long. RefSeq lists it as uncharacterized. NCBI's taxonomy places the organism in Eukaryota, Metazoa, Arthropoda, Insecta, Hymenoptera, Formicidae. The transcript has 3 exons. The record is from RefSeq and is a predicted model, not a curated record.